Astatotilapia calliptera (eastern happy) is the source of this 1581-nucleotide long non-coding RNA. Lineage: Eukaryota; Metazoa; Chordata; Actinopteri; Cichliformes; Cichlidae. The record is from Ensembl.
UGGGAUAUUUUUUGGAGCAGCCUAGAAAGCUGAGCUGGUGCUGUCCUCCUUUUUUCCAAAUCACUGUGACAGUAAGAUAAUUACCAACAAAAACAGCUUUUUAUUUAUAGUGAUAAACACACUGCACCCUCUGAACUGUCACUCACAAUUUUUCCACAUUUUAGUGCCAACAUUUUCCUGUAAACAUUACAGAGCACAAAACACAGAGGCGUGGCCGAAACAGUGAGAACUACAUAAACAAAUUGGGUGAAGUGGUCCCUUCCUGAAACAAACACAACUGUUUCUGAUAUCGUUAGGCAGCGAGGCAGACACAGAGAGGAGGCAAUGGCACAAAAAUGCAAAUUUCAACGAGGAAUUGAGGUUUCAGGAUAGACUAAAUAGGUCCGAAAAGGGCAGAACGUGCCUCAAAGCGGCAUUAUUUUUAAUGGCUGACUGGAAAAAGAAGUCACACUGUAUUGAAGUGUAUGAAAAAUGGCCCUCUGUUCCCCUGAUCUAUGACAGGGGUCAGCAAUAUUUAUUAUCAAAAGGGAGCUGAGCCAUAAAUGAGCAUAUCAACAUUAUGAAUAGGUAUAAAUAAUUAAAACAAGUCUGCAGUUACUUUGUAUGACUAUUUGGUUUUUUAACUUUGCAUUUUCAUAACAAUAAUGCCACAUUCAUGUUGAAUUUAUAACAUUAUAGAACUAGGAUAAUAAAAAUUUAGUUAGUUAUUUUUUUUAUUAACCACCAAAGAGAACAUUUGUGAAGUGAAGGAAAAUCAGAUUUGUUUUAAGUAAAAAGAUCUGUUGGUAGUGAAAGCAAUCACAUUGUGUUUAUUAUAUUUAUUUCCAUAUACAGAUUAAUUUUUUAUCAAACCCAGAGGGAGGCACUGGACAUGGGCAAAAUAGCCACAGGUUUCUGACCUCUGAUCUAUGACCUCAGUAAAAAAUGAUUUCCUGAUGACAGUAUGGCCUCAGUGGCUACUUUUAAGUCAUACUGAAUACAAAAUGUUUUUAAUUUGUAAGUUACAGUAAAAUUAAAGCCAAAAAGAAAUAUACACUGGGUCAUAUGCAGUCCAACUGGUCACAUCACAGUGGCUGCAUCCAUCUUUGUGUCUCAUUUUUUUACUUUGUUUCAUUUAGAGGCUUAAACUAGCUAAGAGGUUUUCAUACAUGAAACAUCAGGAGUAUUCGGUCAGGACAUUACUGCUGAGAAUCCCGAGGAUCUGAAGUUGUGUUUGUUGCUUGCAGCUAUUUGAGAAGUCUUUAAAAGGUAUCACAUAUUUGCACCUUUGCCUAAAGCAGUGGUUCUCAAACUGUGGGAUGUAGAACCAGGGGAAAAUACAAAAUGAAACUAAUUGGAAUUAAGAGUAUGCUAAUGCUAUGUUUACCUUUAUUUACAUAAUAUACUUAUUCAGAUAAAAAUGUUGAGGGUUGUAAAAAAUUGUGGGGUAUGGGGCAUGCCAGAACAGGUUUGAAAACCACUGACCUAAAGCAGCAGGAUUCAUACGAGCAUCCCCAAAAAGAGAGGGGUGCGCGCAUUUAAAUAACCUCAUUCAUUAUUGAAAACUAAUUAAUUAUUACCAACACAAAAACAGCAUUAAUC